GUGAACGCUGGCGGUAGGCCUAACACAUGCAAGUCGAACGGCAGCACAGUAAGAGCUUGCUCUUACGGGUGGCGAGUGGCGGACGGGUGAGGAAUACAUCGGAAUCUACUUUUUCGUGGGGGAUAACGUAGGGAAACUUACGCUAAUACCGCAUACGACCUACGGGUGAAAGCAGGGGAUCUUCGGACCUUGCGCGAUUGAAUGAGCCGAUGUCGGAUUAGCUAGUUGGCGGGGUAAAGGCCCACCAAGGCGACGAUCCGUAGCUGGUCUGAGAGGAUGAUCAGCCACACUGGAACUGAGACACGGUCCAGACUCCUACGGGAGGCAGCAGUGGGGAAUAUUGGACAAUGGGCGCAAGCCUGAUCCAGCCAUACCGCGUGGGUGAAGAAGGCCUCCGGGUUGUAAAGCCCUUUUGUUGGGAAAGAAAAGCAGCAGGUUAAUACCCCGCUGUUCUGACGGUACCCAAAGAAUAAGCACCGGCUAACUUCGU
This 490-nucleotide ribosomal RNA is filed under the name uncultured bacterium. RNAcentral's name for it is "partial 16S ribosomal RNA". It matches the Rfam family "Bacterial small subunit ribosomal RNA", at positions 29 to 506 of the family's 1533-position model. The record is from RNAcentral.